CCUACGGGUGGCAGCAGUGAGGAAUAUUGGUCAAUGGGCGGGAGCCUGAACCAGCCAAGCCGCGUGAGGGAAGAAGGUACUGCGUAUCGUAAACCUCUUUUGUCAGGGAACAAAGGCGGGGACUAGUCCCCGGAUGAGGGUACCUGAAGAAAAAGCAUCGGCUAACCCGGUGCCAGCAGCCGCGGUAAUACGGGGGAUGCGGGCGUUAUCCGGAUUUGUUGGGUUUAAGGGGUGCGCAGGCGGCCUGUUAAGUCAGCGGUAAAACCCCGGGGCUCAACCCCGGCGAGCCGUUGAAACUGGCGGGCUGGAGUUGGAUAGAGGGACGCGGAAUUCGCGGUGUAGCGGUGAAAUGCUUAGAUAUCGCGCAGAACCCCGAUUGCGAAGGCAGCGUACCGGCUCCACACUGACGCUGAGGCACGAAAGCGUGGGUAUCGAACAGGAUUAGAUACCCUGGUAGUC
RNAcentral lists this ribosomal RNA (459 nucleotides) under uncultured bacterium. RNAcentral's name for it is "partial 16S ribosomal RNA". It matches the Rfam family "Bacterial small subunit ribosomal RNA", at positions 338 to 795 of the family's 1533-position model. The record is from RNAcentral.